This 608-nucleotide ribosomal RNA is filed under the name uncultured Poribacteria bacterium. RNAcentral's name for it is "bacterial SSU rRNA". It matches the Rfam family "Bacterial small subunit ribosomal RNA", at positions 424 to 1032 of the family's 1533-position model. The record is from RNAcentral. Lineage: Bacteria; Candidatus Poribacteria.
UGUACUCUGUGUUACGGGAUGAAUUGAGCGUUGCUGAUAACGCAGCGUUUUUGACGUUACCGUAGUAGAAAGCCCCAGCUAACUACGUGCCAGCAGCUGCGGUAAUACGUAGGGGGCAAGCGUUGUCCGGAAUCACUGGGCGUAAAGCGCGCGCAGGCGGUGGAAUAAGUCAGACGUGAAAGGGUUCGGCUCAACCGAGCCAUUGCGUUUGAUACUGUUUCACUUGAGUCUAGAAGAGGAAAGUGGAAUGUAUGGUGUAGCGGUGGAAUGCUUAGAUAUCAUAUAGAACACCCGUGGCGAAGGCGGCUUUCUGGUCUAAGACUGACGCUCAUGCGCGAAAGUUUGGGGAGCAACCGGGAUUAGAUACCCCGCUAGUCCUUACUGUAAACGAUGGGUACUAAGUGUAGGGGGUGUUGAUUCCCUCUGUGCUGUAGCUAACGCAUUAAGUACCCCGCCUGGGGAGUACGGCCGCAAGGUUAAAACUCAAGGUAAUUGACGGGGGGCCGCACAAGCGGUGGAGCAUGUCGCUUAUUCGACGCACGCGAAGACCUUAUCCAGGCUUGACAUCGCAGUGACCGCUAUAGAUAUAGUUUCCUUCGGGACACUAU